This 729-nucleotide ribosomal RNA is filed under the name Pontibacillus sp. Its description in RNAcentral is "bacterial SSU rRNA". It matches the Rfam family "Bacterial small subunit ribosomal RNA", at positions 56 to 755 of the family's 1533-position model. Lineage: Bacteria; Bacillati; Bacillota; Bacilli; Caryophanales; Bacillaceae. The record is from RNAcentral.
UGCAGUCGAGCGCGUGAAUCAACAUGAUCCCUUCGGGGUGAUUGUUGUGGAUCGAGCGGCGGACGGGUGAGUAACACGUGGGCAACCUACCCAUGAGAUCGGGAUAACUCCGGGAAACCGGAGCUAAUACCGAAUAACCCAGUGAACUGCAUGGUUCACUGGUAAAAGGCGGUUUCGGCCGUCACUCAUGGAUGGGCCCGCGGCGCAUUAGCUAGUUGGUAAGGUAACGGCUUACCAAGGCGACGAUGCGUAGCCGACCUGAGAGGGUGAUCGGCCACACUGGGACUGAGACACGGCCCAGACUCCUACGGGAGGCAGCAGUAGGGAAUCUUCCGCAAUGGACGAAAGUCUGACGGAGCAACGCCGCGUGAACGAUGAAGGUCUUCGGAUCGUAAAGUUCUGUUGUUAGGGAAGAACAAGUGCCAGAGGAAAUGCUGGUACCUUGACGGUACCUAACCAGAAAGCCACGGCUAACUACGUGCCAGCAGCCGCGGUAAUACGUAGGUGGCAAGCGUUGUCCGGAAUUAUUGGGCGUAAAGCGCGCGCAGGCGGUUUCUUAAGUCUGAUGUGAAAGCCCACAGCUCAACUGUGGAGGGCCAUUGGAAACUGGGGAACUUGAGUACAGAAGAGGAGAGUGGAAUUCCACGUGUAGCGGUGAAAUGCGUAGAUAUGUGGAGGAACACCAGUGGCGAAGGCGACUCUCUGGUCUGUAACUGACGCUGAGGCGCG